AUUGAACGCUGGCGGCAGGCCUAACACAUGCAAGUCGAACGGUAGCACAGAGAGCUUGCUCUCGGGUGACGAGUGGCGGACGGGUGAGUAAUGUCUGGGAAACUGCCUGAUGGAGGGGGAUAACUACUGGAAACGGUAGCUAAUACCGCAUAACGUCGCAAGACCAAAGAGGGGGGACCUUCGGGCCUCUUGCCAUCAGA
Molecule: ribosomal RNA, 200 nt
Filed under: uncultured bacterium
Lineage: Bacteria
Description: partial 16S ribosomal RNA
Rfam family: Bacterial small subunit ribosomal RNA
Source: RNAcentral